This 253-nucleotide ribosomal RNA is filed under the name uncultured bacterium. Its description in RNAcentral is "partial 16S ribosomal RNA". It matches the Rfam family "Bacterial small subunit ribosomal RNA", at positions 524 to 776 of the family's 1533-position model. The record is from RNAcentral.
UACGUAGGGACCAAGCGUUGUUCGGAUUUACUGGGCGUAAAGGGCGCGUAGGCGGCUUAACAAGUCACUUGUGAAAUCUCCGGGCUUAACUCGGAACGGUCAAGUGAUACUGUCGCGCUAGAGUGCGGAAGGGGCAAUCAGAAUUCUUGGUGUAGCGGUGAAAUGCGUAGAUAUCAAGAGGAAUACCUGAGGUGAAGACGGGUUGCUAGGCCGACACUGACGCUGAAGCGCGAAAGCCAGGGGAGCAAACGGG